This 479-nucleotide non-coding RNA is filed under the name Pongo abelii (Sumatran orangutan). Lineage: Eukaryota; Metazoa; Chordata; Mammalia; Primates; Hominidae. The record is from RNAcentral.
UGUCCUCUUAAAAUUCUGCCCUGGAGGUGUCACCCUAGCUCCAGCCCUGACCUUAAGAGGGAGGUACUAGUAUUAUCCACAUUUAUUUUUUAUUUUAAUUAAUUAAUUAAUUAAUUUUAUUUAUUUUUGAGACGGAGUCUCGCUCUGUUGCCCAGGCUGGAGUGCAGUGGCGCAAUCUCGGCUCACUGCAAGCUCCGCCUCCCAGGUUCACGCCAUUCUCCUGCCUCAGCCUCCCAAGUAGCUGGGACUACAGGCACCCGCCACCAUGCCCGGCUAAUUUUUUGUAUUGCAGGCUAGGGAGAGCUGAGUUGGUUACAUCUGGGGUCCAUCUAGGGUUCCAUCCCUGGAAAAAAUGGUGGUGGUGGUUAGGGCUGCCCGGAGCUCCUCAGGGGCAAAGACCCCCAGUUCUGUGAUGAUGCCGCCAGUGAUGAGGUCGUGAGGGGUGACAUCGAAGGCAGGAUUCCAAACUCCAAUCCCUG